UUAUUGAAUGGCUGAAAUUAAUAAGCAUUGGUCUCUUAAACCAUAAUAUAGUAAAUUUACUUUCAAUUAA
Molecule: transfer RNA, 70 nt
Filed under: Allothyrus sp. LamingtonNP-QMS95173
Lineage: Eukaryota; Metazoa; Arthropoda; Arachnida; Holothyrida; Allothyridae
Description: tRNA-Lys
Source: RNAcentral